GAACGCACAUUGCGCCCUUUGGCAUUCCGAAGGGCAUGCCUGUUCGAGCGUCAUUACACCAAUCAAGCCUGGCUUGGUAUUGGGCGACGGGGGCCUCACCGCCCCCGCGCCUCAAUGACUCCGGCGGGACGGACCGUAUCUCAGCGUUGUGGUAAAAAGCCGCUGGCGAGACGGGACCGGCCGUGCCGUUAAACAACCCCAUCACAAGGUUGACCUCGGAUCAGGUAGGGAUACCCGCUGAACUUAAG
This 248-nucleotide unclassified non-coding RNA is filed under the name uncultured fungus. RNAcentral describes it as "sequence contains 5.8S rRNA gene". The stretch from base 1 to 53 matches the Rfam family "5.8S ribosomal RNA", at positions 102 to 154 of the family's 154-position model. The record is from RNAcentral. Lineage: Eukaryota; Fungi.